GUCUACAGCCAUGCCACCCUGAACAAGCCCAAUCCCUUCUGAUCUCGGAAGCUAAGCAGGAUUGGUCUGCUUAGUACUUGGAUGGAGACCACUUAGGAAGACUGGGUACUGUAGGUG
This 117-nucleotide ribosomal RNA is filed under the name Pteropus alecto (black flying fox). Lineage: Eukaryota; Metazoa; Chordata; Mammalia; Chiroptera; Pteropodidae. The record is from RNAcentral.